CUUGGUAACGCAGCUAACGCGUGAAGUAGACCGCCUGGGGAGUACGGUCGCAAGAUUAAAACUCAAAGGAAUUGACGGGGACCCGCACAACGGAUGAUGUGGAUUAAUUCGAUGCAACGCGAAAAACCUUACCUACCCUUGACAUGGAUGGAAUCCGAAGAGAUUUGGGAGUGCUCGAAAGAGAACCAUCACACAGGUGCUGCAUGGCUGUCGUCAGCUCGUGUCGUGAGAUGUUGGGUUAAGUCCCGCAACGAGCGCAACCCUUGUCAUUAGUUGCUACGAAAGGGCACUCUAAUGAGACUGCCGGUGACAAACCGGAGGAAGGUGGGGAUGACGUCAAGUCCUCAUGGCCCUUAUGGGUAGGGCUUCACACGUCAUACAAUGGUACAUACAGAGGGCCGCCAACCCGCGAGGGGGAGCUAAUCCCAGAAAGUGUAUGUAGUCCGGAUUGGAGUCUGCAACUCGACUCCAGGUUGGAUCGCUAUAAUG
This 489-nucleotide ribosomal RNA is filed under the name Herbaspirillum sp. RNAcentral's name for it is "bacterial SSU rRNA". It matches the Rfam family "Bacterial small subunit ribosomal RNA", at positions 839 to 1343 of the family's 1533-position model. The record is from RNAcentral. Lineage: Bacteria; Pseudomonadati; Pseudomonadota; Betaproteobacteria; Burkholderiales; Oxalobacteraceae.